Molecule: non-coding RNA, 998 nt
Organism: Equus caballus (horse)
Lineage: Eukaryota; Metazoa; Chordata; Mammalia; Perissodactyla; Equidae
Source: RefSeq, a predicted model, not a curated record
UGCCCUCUCUCCUUGCUCAGUGCUGUGCAAAAAUAAAACUCUCCUACUUUCUUCCAUCACACCCGGUGUCAGAGAUUGGCUUGCUGCGCAACGGGUGAGCGAACUCACUUCAGGUUCGGUAACAAUUUGGCAACCCAGAUGGGACAAUGUCCCAGGUGGACAUCUCGCCUGUGGCACACCGGCCUCUGGCUAAAGGCCUCUCUUGGAAGCUGUCCUGCAGCUGCCUGAGCCCCUUGUCUCAGGGACAGCCCCAAGUGACUGGCUGCUAGCCAGAGGUCGUUGGCCCACAGCGCUUUUGCUUUGGUGGUGGAAGAAAAUAGGUUUAGGACUUGGGAAGACGUCUCUUGUAAGUAGCUGGUAGUUUUUGUUUUUGUCUUUGUGUUAACCUUUUCCAACAGGACCAGCUGGAAAUAAUGGGUACCUUGGCAGCCCUCUGGGCUCAUUUGUUUUGAAGUUGCUGCAACGCCCCAGCCAAAUUUUGGACACAAUUGGAAACACUGGUUAUAUUACCAAGGCUUUGACUGGAACAUCAUGUUUGAAAAAACAUAUGGGCUUGGAUAUAAUAAAACAGCUUUUGAGGAAUGAAGGUUGACAUUCUGGAAUAAAGCCACUUGGAAAUAUUGGCCUGGUACUGUGUUUAUGGGUUCUGUAACCUGAAAAACUUCUUAUUAAAUACCUGGUUACUUAGGUACAUGAUACAGGCCUAACUUCAGGAGCCCACCAGCAUUACUGCUUUAUUAAAAGACUGGUUCAAUGAGAUGAAACGACUUACACCCCAUUUCAGCAGGAAGUAGCUAGAUUCGUCGCCGCCCCAAAUCCCUCAAGAUUGAAGGAUGGACAUAAAAUAGGGGGGAGUUGAUACCAACCCUGCUAUCAGUUUCCCCACAUUAAACCCAGCAUAUAUAGGGUUAAAACCAAAACACGCAUUCCCUGCUUACUCUCUGGCUUCCUGGCUCCAAAAUCCACUAUCCUCCAUGGAGACAGACACCGUCAAGGAC